GAUGAACGCUGGCGGCGUGCCUAAUACAUGCAAGUCGAGCGAACGGACGAGAAGCUUGCUUCUCUGAUGUUAGCGGCGGACGGGUGAGUAACACGUGGAUAACAUACCUAUAAGACUGGGAUAACUUCGGGAAACCGUAGCUAAUACCGGAUCAUAUUUUGAACCGCAUGGUUCAACAGUGAUAGACGGUCUUGCUGUCACUAAUAGAUGGAUCCGCGCUGCAUUAGUUAGUUGGUAAGGUAACGGCUUACCAAGGCAACGAUGCAUAGCCGACCUGAGAGGGUGAUCAGCCACACUGGAACUGAGACACGGUCCAGACUCCUACGGGAGGCAGCAGUGGGGAAUCUUCCGCAAUGGGCGAAAGCCUGACGGAGCAACGCCGCGUGAGUGAUGAAGGUCUUCGGAUUGUAAAACUCUGUUAUUGGGGAAGAACAUAUGUGUAAGUAACUGUGCACGUCUUGACGGUACCUAAUCAGAAAGCAACGGCUAACUACGUG
RNAcentral lists this ribosomal RNA (497 nucleotides) under uncultured bacterium. RNAcentral describes it as "partial 16S ribosomal RNA". It matches the Rfam family "Bacterial small subunit ribosomal RNA", at positions 28 to 507 of the family's 1533-position model. The record is from RNAcentral.